CGGAGAGGGCGCAUGAGAAACGGCUACCACUUCUAAGGAAGGCAGCAGGCGCGCAAAUUACCCAAUCCUGACUCAGGGAGGUAGUGACAAGAAAUAACAAUAAACCGGCUUAUGCCGGUUUAAUUGGAAUGAGUACAAUUUAAACAUCUUAACGAGGAACAAUUGGAGGGCAAGUCUGGUGCCAGCAGCCGCGGUAAUUCCAGCUCCAAUAGCGUAUACUAAAGUUGUUGCAGUUAAAAAGCUCGUAGUUGGAUUUCUGCGGGGACGGAGCGGCCGGACGCAACUUGCGUCUCGAGCUAGCGCUUUCCCCGCAUCCUGCCGCGAACCGUGCUACCAUUAGCUUGGUGGCGCUGGGGAUCGGCUCGAUUACUUUGAGAAAAAUAGAGUGUUCAAAGCAGGCCACACGCCUUGAAUAAGUUAGCAUGGAAUAAUGACUAAGGACUUCGGUUCUAUUUUGUUGGUGUUCGGGACUGGAGUAAUGAUUGAUAGGGACAGUUGGGGCGGUCUGUAUUCCAAAGCGAGAGGUGAAAUUCUUAGACCUUUGGAAGACAAACAGCUGCGAAAGCGUUCCGCAAGGAUGUUCCCUUUGAUCAAGAACGAAAGUUGGGGGAUCGAAGACGAUCAGAUACCGUCGUAGUCUCAACUAUAAACUAUACCAGCUAGGGAUCGGUCAACGUUUAAUCAUUCGACUUGAUCGGCACCUUAUGAGAAAUCAAAGCAUCUGGGUUCCGGGGGGAGCAUGGUCGCAAGGCUGAAACUUAAAGGAAUUGACGGAAGGGCACCACCAGCCGUGGAGCCUGUGGCUUAAUUUGACUCAACACGGGAAAACUUACCAGGUCCAGACAUAGUAAGGAUUGACAGAUUGAUAGCUCUUUCUUGAUUCUGUGGGUGGUGGUGCAUGGCCGUUCUUAGUUGGUGGAGUGAUUUGUCUGGUUAAUUCCGUUAACGAACGAGACCCCAGCCUGCUAAAUAGCGCGGCUGAGCUUUGCUCGGUGCGAGCUUCUUAGAGGGACUAUGAUGCGCGAUAGCACAUGGAAGUUUGGGGCAAUAACAGGUCUGUGAUGCCCUUAGAUGUUCUGGGCCGCACACGGGCUACACUGGCGCCUGCAACGAGCAUAUCAGCUGGCCCGAGAGGGUCUUGGCUAAUCUUUUGAACCGGCGCCGUGCUUGGGAUUGACCAUUGCAAUUGUUGGUCAUGCAACGAGGAAUGCCUUGUAAACGCGAGUCAUCAGCUCGCAUUGAAUACGUCCCUGCCCUUUGUACACACCGCCCGUCGCUCCUACCGAUGAAUGUUCCGAUGAAAUUUUCGGAGAGCGCCAGAGAACGGGGCUCCGCCUUGCAGAUCUGGAGGCUCAAAGUCACUUAAAUCUGAACAUUUCGAGGAAGGAGAAGUCGUAACAAGGUAACC
This 1408-nucleotide ribosomal RNA is filed under the name uncultured Rhizaria. Its description in RNAcentral is "SSU rRNA". It matches the Rfam family "Eukaryotic small subunit ribosomal RNA", at positions 384 to 1804 of the family's 1831-position model. The record is from RNAcentral.